Long non-coding RNA from Anastrepha ludens (Mexican fruit fly), 1177 nucleotides. RefSeq lists it as uncharacterized. NCBI's taxonomy places the organism in Eukaryota, Metazoa, Arthropoda, Insecta, Diptera, Tephritidae. The record is from RefSeq and is a predicted model, not a curated record. The transcript has 3 exons.
ACUUAUUCAUUUUGAGAGAGAGCGCGCCCAUGAGGACUUUUCAAAACUUGGCAGCACUCACACAUUAUGGGAUUUUGAACAGCUGAUAGGCGAAAUGGCAGACUGCCAGAAGAAACGCGCCGAAAAUAACAGACGAAAACAGUUCGUUUUUGCUUAAUGGAGAAAUGACGUGUUGAAAUGUUUACAAUUAUUUGUCUUAAAAUUAAUUCAAUUGAAACGUAAUAAUUUAAAUUGAAGGGAGUUUUAGAAUUUUUCAAAGCCUUUUAUAUCCUUUUCAACUUCUACUUUAAUUAGUCUUAUGCACAUAUGCAUAUGAAUACAUUUUACUCGUACAUACAUGUGCUUUUAUUGAAAUCUGUAUGUUGGUUUAUGUCUGUAAAUUGGUAUAUACGUAAAUAUUCUAUGAGUGAAAAGCGUAGCUUGCAGUGGCCAUGGGCGGUUGGAAUAUCAUAUUUCAUAAAUACAUUACGGAUGGACUUUAUGAGAUGGCAAUAGUCAAACAUGCAAAAAUUGGAUAUUUAUGCACGACAACGAUCCCAAACAUACUGCGGGAGUGGUCAAAAACUGGCUUUCGCAGGAAAAUAUUACCCAGCUCGAUUGGCCAGCACAAAGUCCGGAUUUAAAUCCAAUCGAAAACUUGUGGAAUGAUGUGAAGACGAUGGUUGGACAAAAAAAAUUAAAAAAUAUCGAUGAACUUUGGGAAGGUGUACAGGAAGCAUGGAACUCUAUUCCUUUGGACAGGUGCCAAAAGUUAAUAGAGAGUUUACCACGCAGGUGUGAAGGAGUUAUACAGAAUAACGGCUAUUCUACCAAAUAUUGAUAUGAUUUUUUACAGAAAUCAAAACUGCGCUAAGUCUUUGUCCAAAUCCCACUAUGACCAAAUAAGAAUUACUUCUAUUUUAUCAUAUUUUUACUAGGGAAAACUGUCUACUUUAAGUUAUUUUGUCUUAUAAUAAAGUGUUAAAUAUAUUUAGUUAAAAAAACUGGAUUUAUUUUGGUUUCAUAUCAUUUAAUCGAGCAUUAUAUUGAACUCUUUUUAAGUGCGCUAAACGUUUGACCAUAGCUGUAUGCAUACAUACAAUUACGCGCAAUUUUCAUAAAAAGACCAAAAAGAACAAAUCUGUAAACAUGCAUACAAAUCAUAUGGACAUAUCAAAUGAACAAAUAUGUUCUGUAC